UACGUAGGGUGCAGGCGUUAAUCGGAAUUACUGGGCGUAAAGCGUGCGCAGGCGGUCUGCUAAGACAGGUGUGAAAUCCCCGGGCUUAACCUGGGAACUGCGCUUGUUACUGGCAGGCUGGAGUGUGGCAGAGGGGGGUGGAAUUCCACGUGUAGCAGUGAAAUGCGUAGAGAUGUGGAGGAACACCGAUGGCGAAGGCAGCCCCCUGGGCUAACACUGACGCUCAUGCACGAAAGCGUGGGGAGCAAACAGG
This 253-nucleotide ribosomal RNA is filed under the name uncultured bacterium. Its description in RNAcentral is "partial 16S ribosomal RNA". It matches the Rfam family "Bacterial small subunit ribosomal RNA", at positions 524 to 776 of the family's 1533-position model. RNAcentral also lists the same sequence under 1 other name. The record is from RNAcentral.